This 85-nucleotide transfer RNA is filed under the name Felis catus (domestic cat). It matches the Rfam family "tRNA". From Rfam's summary of the family: Transfer RNA (tRNA) molecules are approximately 80 nucleotides in length. Their secondary structure includes four short double-helical elements and three loops (D, anti-codon, and T loops). The record is from Rfam by way of RNAcentral. Lineage: Eukaryota; Metazoa; Chordata; Mammalia; Carnivora; Felidae. RNAcentral also lists the same sequence under 2 other names.
CCCUGGGUGGCUCACUUGGUUAAGCGUCUGACUUUAGUUCAGAUCAUGGUCUCACUGUUCGUGAGUUCAAGCCUCACAUCAGGCU